UGGGGAAUCUUGGACAAUGGGCGCAAGCCUGACACAGCAACGCCGCGUGAAGGAUGAAGUCCCUCGGGAUGUAAACUUCGUAAGAAUAGGAAGAAUAAAUGACGGUACUAUUUGUAAGGUCCGGCUAACUACGUGCCAGCAGCCGCGGUAAUACGUAGGGACCAAGCGUUGUUCGGAUUUACUGGGCGUAAAGGGUGCGUAGGCGGCAUAUCAAGUCACUUGUGAAAUCUCCGGGCUUAACUCGGAACUGCCAAGUGAUACUGAUGUGCUAGAGUGCAGAAAGGGCAACUGGAAUUCUUGGUGUAGCGGUGAAAUGCGUAGAUAUCAAGAGGAACACCUGAGGCGAAGGCGAGUUGCUAGGCUGACACUGACGCUGAGGUACGAAAGCUAGGGGAGCGAACGGGAUUAGAUACCCUCGUAGUCCCUGAGCGGGCUGGCAAGGCGCAU
RNAcentral lists this ribosomal RNA (447 nucleotides) under uncultured bacterium. RNAcentral describes it as "bacterial SSU rRNA". It matches the Rfam family "Bacterial small subunit ribosomal RNA", at positions 355 to 825 of the family's 1533-position model. The record is from RNAcentral.